RNAcentral lists this long non-coding RNA (706 nucleotides) under Mytilus galloprovincialis (Mediterranean mussel). Lineage: Eukaryota; Metazoa; Mollusca; Bivalvia; Mytilida; Mytilidae. The record is from RNAcentral.
UUACAAAUCAAGGCAUCAAUGGCGUCUGUUCGUCAAUUCUGAUAAUUGGUUAAUUUACACCAAGUGAUAUUUUGGUCAAAUGAUAUAUUCAAUAAUAGAAUUUAAUUAAAUGAAAAUUAAAUUCAUUUAUUGAAUUAACAUAUACAUGUAUUGAGACUCGACAAAUCGAGUCGUCCUUUACUCUUAUUAUGCUAAUUUGAGCAUGUGACAGCCGAGUAGUAAAAGUCCGUGCAAUUUAACGGUCUAUUUUACCUUGAAAACCGAACGGAGAGGACGUUAAAAAAUUAAGACCCAUCCUCUCCCACCCUUAAGAAUUGAACUUUGUUUGCUGCUGGUUUUAUUUAUUUUUCAGAUGCUCCAGUCUUCAAACACAUAUCCGUCAUGGUAACAUGCUGAAGCAGUCACACAACCGGAGCGAAAUUUACUUCAUUUUAUGCAGACUAUGGAUAGCCCAGCUGCUAAUUCUGAAAUAUUGCUGAAUGGACCGCCCUUCAGUACACCAGCUUUGGAUCGCCCAGCUGUGAUACAAUGAUUAGUUCAAUCGUCAUCAACAUUUUAUUGAUUGACAAAUAUUUUGGUUGUGUACUGUUGUUGUAACAGUUGUUGUUGUUUUAUGAAUGAAUUUUGAUUAAAUGUUGCCAUGACAAUUCAAUAUCCAAACAAAAUCAGUGUUUGUUAUUUGUUGUACUGAAAUACAAAUCAAGGC